GUGGGGAAUAUUGGGCAAUGGGGGCAACCCUGACCCAGCGACGCCGCGUGGGUGAAGAAAUCCCUCGGGAUGUAAAGCCCUGUUGUAUGGGAAGAGCAGAAGACGGUACCAUACGAGGAAGCCCCGGCAAACUACGUGCCAGCAGCCGCGGUAAUACGUAGGGGGCAAGCGUUGUCCGGAAUUACUGGGCGUAAAGCGCACGCAGGCUGAAUUAUAAGUCGGUAGUCAAAUACGGAGGCUCAACUUCCGGAUAUCUAUCGAUACUGUAAAUCUAGAGUAUGUGAGAGGGAAGCGGAAUGCCCGGUGUAGCGGUGAAAUGCGUAGAUAUCGGGAGGAACACCAGUGGCGAAGGCGGCUUCCUGGCACAAUACUGACGCUCAUGUGCGAAAGCUAGGGCAGCGAACGGGAUUAGAAACCCCUGUAGUCC
RNAcentral lists this ribosomal RNA (427 nucleotides) under uncultured bacterium. RNAcentral's name for it is "partial 16S ribosomal RNA". It matches the Rfam family "Bacterial small subunit ribosomal RNA", at positions 354 to 796 of the family's 1533-position model. The record is from RNAcentral.